AUUGAACGCUGGCGGCAGGCCUAACACAUGCAAGUCGAACGGUAACAGGAAACAGCUUGCUGUUUCGCUGACGAGUGGCGGACGGGUGAGUAAUGUCUGGGAAACUGCCUGAUGGAGGGGGAUAACUACUGGAAACGGUAGCUGAUACCGCAUAACGUCGCAAGACCAAAGAGGGGGACCUUCGGGCCUCUUGCCAUCGGAUGUGCCCAGAUGGGAUUAGCUAGUAGGUGGGGUAACGGCUCACCUAGGCGACGAUCCCUAGCUGGUCUGAGAGGAUGACCAGCCACACUGGAACUGAGACACGGUCCAGACUCCUACGGGAGGCAGCAGUGGGGAAUAUUGCACAAUGGGCGCAAGCCUGAUGCAGCCAUGCCGCGUGUAUGAAGAAGGCCUUCGGGUUGUAAAGUACUUUCAGCGGGGAGGAAGGGAGUAAAGUUAAUACCUUUGCUCAUUGACGUUACCCGCAGAAGAAGCACCGGCUAACUCCGUG
RNAcentral lists this ribosomal RNA (490 nucleotides) under uncultured bacterium. RNAcentral describes it as "partial 16S ribosomal RNA". It matches the Rfam family "Bacterial small subunit ribosomal RNA", at positions 30 to 507 of the family's 1533-position model. The record is from RNAcentral.